AGGAUGAACGCUGGCGGCGUGCUUAACACAUGCAAGUCGAACGAUGAAGCGGAGCUUGCUCUGUGGAUUAGUGGCGAACGGGUGAGUAACACGUGAGUAACCUGCCCUUGACUCUGGGAUAAGCACUGGAAACGGUGUCUAAUACCGGAUACGAGCUUCAGCCGCAUGGCUAGGAGUUGGAAAGAAUUUCGGUCAAGGAUGGACUCGCGGCCUAUCAGGUAGUUGGUGAGGUAAUGGCCCACCAAGCCUACGACGGGUAGCCGGCCUGAGAGGGUGACCGGCCACACUGGGACUGAGACACGGCCCAGACUCCUACGGGAGGCAGCAGUGGGGAAUAUUGCACAAUGGGCGCAAGCCUGAUGCAGCAACGCCGCGUGAGGGACGACGGCCUUCGGGUUGUAACCUCUUUUAGUAGGAAGAAGCGAAAGUGACGGUACCUGCAGAAAAGCACCGGCUAACUACGUGCCAGCAGCCGCGGU
Molecule: ribosomal RNA, 479 nt
Filed under: uncultured bacterium
Lineage: Bacteria
Description: SSU rRNA
Rfam family: Bacterial small subunit ribosomal RNA
Source: RNAcentral